AACGAACGCUGGCGGCAGGCUUAACACAUGCAAGUCGAACGGGUGUAGCAAUACAUCAGUGGCAGACGGGUGAGUAACACGUGGGAACCUUCCUAGGGGUACGGAACAACUCAGGGAAACUUGAGCUAAUACCGUAUACGUCCUUGAGGAGAAAGAUUUAUCGCCCUUAGACGGGCCCGCGUCGGAUUAGCGAGUUGGUGGGUUAACGGCCAACCUAGGCGACGGUCAGUAGCUGAUCUUAGAGGAUGAUCAGCCACACUGGGACUGAGACACGGCCCAGACUCCUACGGGAGGCAGCAGUGGGGAAUCUUGGACAAUGGGCGCAAGCCUGAUCCAGCCAUGCCGCGUGAGUGAAGAAGGUCUUCGGAUUGUAAAGCUCUUUUGCCAGGGACGAUAAUGACGGUACCUGGAGAAUAAGCCCCGGCAAACUUCGUGCCAGCAGCCGCCGUAA
RNAcentral lists this ribosomal RNA (451 nucleotides) under uncultured bacterium. Its description in RNAcentral is "partial 16S ribosomal RNA". It matches the Rfam family "Bacterial small subunit ribosomal RNA", at positions 29 to 523 of the family's 1533-position model. The record is from RNAcentral.